This 207-nucleotide ribosomal RNA is filed under the name uncultured bacterium. RNAcentral describes it as "partial 16S ribosomal RNA". It matches the Rfam family "Bacterial small subunit ribosomal RNA", at positions 568 to 774 of the family's 1533-position model. The record is from RNAcentral.
CUCGUAGGCGGUUCGUCGCGUCCGGUGUGAAAGUCCAUCGCUUAACGGUGGAUCUGCGCCGGGUACGGGCGGGCUGGAGUGCGGUAGGGGAGACUGGAAUUCCCGGUGUAACGGUGGAAUGUGUAGAUAUCGGGAAGAACACCAAUGGCGAAGGCAGGUCUUUGGGCCGUUACUGACGCUGAGGAGCGAAAGCGUGGGGAGCGAACA